UGGUCCUACGGGAGGCAGCAGUGAGGAAUAUUGGUCAAUGGGCGGGAGCCUGAACCAGCCAAGUCGCGUGAGGGAAGACGGUCCUAUGGAUUGUAAACCUCUUUAGGCGGGGAGCAAUGCCGGGCACGCGUGCCCGGAGGGAGAGUACCCGCAGAAUAAGCAUCGGCUAACUCCGUGCCAGCAGCCGCGGUAAUACGGAGGAUGCGAGCGUUAUCCGGAUUUAUUGGGUUUAAAAGGUGCGUAGGCGGAAGGUUAAGUCAGCGGUCAAAUGUCGGUGCUCAACACCGGCCUGCCGUUGAAACUGG
RNAcentral lists this ribosomal RNA (305 nucleotides) under uncultured bacterium. Its description in RNAcentral is "bacterial SSU rRNA". It matches the Rfam family "Bacterial small subunit ribosomal RNA", at positions 334 to 636 of the family's 1533-position model. The record is from RNAcentral.